RNAcentral lists this ribosomal RNA (422 nucleotides) under uncultured prokaryote. RNAcentral describes it as "bacterial SSU rRNA". It matches the Rfam family "Bacterial small subunit ribosomal RNA", at positions 355 to 774 of the family's 1533-position model. The record is from RNAcentral.
UGAGGAAUAUUGGUCAAUGGGCGAGAGCCUGAACCAGCCAAGUAGCGUGAAGGAUGACUGCCCUAUGGGUUGUAAACUUCUUUUAUAAGGGAAUAAAGUGAGGGACGUGUCCCUUUUUGUAUGUACCUUAUGAAUAAGGAUCGGCUAACUCCGUGCCAGCAGCCGCGGUAGUACGGAGGAUCCGAGCGUUAUCCGGAUUUAUUGGGUUUAAAGGGAGCGUAGGUUGACAUAUAAGUCAGCUGUGAAAGUUUACGGCUCAACCGUGAAAUUGCAGUUGAUACUGUAUGUCUUGAGUGUACAAGAGGUGGGCGGAAUUCGUGGUGUAGCGGUGAAAUGCUUAGAUAUCACGAAGAACUCCAAUUGCGAAGGCAGCUCACUGGGGUACAACUGACACUGAGGCUCGAAAGUGUGGGUAUCAAACA